RNAcentral lists this ribosomal RNA (253 nucleotides) under uncultured bacterium. RNAcentral describes it as "partial 16S ribosomal RNA". It matches the Rfam family "Bacterial small subunit ribosomal RNA", at positions 524 to 776 of the family's 1533-position model. The record is from RNAcentral.
UACGAAGGGGGCUAGCGUUGCUCGGAAUCACUGGGCGUAAAGGGUGCGUAGGCGGGUCUUUAAGUCAGGGGUGAAAUCCUGGAGCUCAACUCCAGAACUGCCUUUGAUACUGAAGAUCUUGAGUCCGGGAGAGGUGAGUGGAACUGCGAGUGUAGAGGUGAAAUUCGUAGAUAUUCGCAAGAACACCAGUGGCGAAGGCGGCUCUCUAGUACGGUACUGACGCUGAGACGCGAAAGCGUGGGGAGCGAACAGG